UACGAAGGGGGCUAGCGUUGCUCGGAAUUACUGGGCGUAAAGCGCACGUAGGCGGCUUUCUAAGUCGGGGGUGAAAUCCUGGAGCUCAACUCCAGAACUGCCUUCGAUACUGGAGAGCUCGAGUCCGGGAGAGGUGAGUGGAACUGCGAGUGUAGAGGUGAAAUUCGUAGAUAUUCGCAAGAACACCAGUGGCGAAGGCGGCUCACUUGGCCCGGUACUGACGCUGGAGGUGCGAAAGCGUGGGGAG
RNAcentral lists this ribosomal RNA (247 nucleotides) under uncultured bacterium. Its description in RNAcentral is "partial 16S ribosomal RNA". It matches the Rfam family "Bacterial small subunit ribosomal RNA", at positions 524 to 768 of the family's 1533-position model. The record is from RNAcentral.